Long non-coding RNA from Pundamilia nyererei, 294 nucleotides. RefSeq lists it as uncharacterized. The record is from RefSeq and is a predicted model, not a curated record. The transcript has 3 exons. Lineage: Eukaryota; Metazoa; Chordata; Actinopteri; Cichliformes; Cichlidae.
GAGUCAGAGGCCCACAGAUCCAGAGGAGGUAACUAAUGAGUCACUCAGGUCAAUGUGUGACAACACCCUUCAUCUCCUCACUACCACUGUUGGACGACUAGCCGAUGUACUGUGGCCAAAGUUGCUGUUUUAUCUGACCCCUUCACAGUACAGCAAUGCCACUACUCCUCUUUGUAAAAGUCUCAUAGUGCUGGGCAGCAAGAAGAAAAAUAACCAAGAGCCCAGCUUCAAAAUCGACUUUACACGGGAAGUCAAUCUACCAUCUCCACAAACACUGAUGAUCAGGCUGCUGGU